This 123-nucleotide non-coding RNA is filed under the name Chloropicon mariensis. The record is from RNAcentral. Lineage: Eukaryota; Viridiplantae; Chlorophyta; Chloropicophyceae; Chloropicales; Chloropicaceae.
CAGCCCGCUGGCCUCUAACCUCCCACGGAGAAGAACAAGUAGAGAAGGUUAUCGAUCCAUCCCGUUCAUCUCCAUUCAUCAUGGUCUUUCUUGACUUGCUGUUGAGAGCACCCUUCUGCCGCC